GUGCUCCCUCUGGCAGCACAUAUACGAAAUUGGAAUGAUACAGAGAUUAGCAUGACCCUGUGCAAGGGUGACACGCAGAUUUGUGAAUCAGUCCGUAUUUUU
Molecule: small nuclear RNA, 102 nt
Organism: Balaenoptera musculus (blue whale)
Lineage: Eukaryota; Metazoa; Chordata; Mammalia; Artiodactyla; Balaenopteridae
Source: Ensembl